This 253-nucleotide ribosomal RNA is filed under the name uncultured bacterium. Its description in RNAcentral is "partial 16S ribosomal RNA". It matches the Rfam family "Bacterial small subunit ribosomal RNA", at positions 524 to 776 of the family's 1533-position model. The record is from RNAcentral.
UACGGAGGAUCCGAGCGUUAUCCGGAUUUAUUGGGUUUAAGGGGUGCGUAGGCGGUUUGAUAAGUUAGAGGUGAAAUGUCGGGGCUCAACCCCGAAACUGCCUCUAAUACUGUUGGACUAGAGAAUAGUUGCGGUAGGCGGAAUGUAUGGUGUAGCGGUGAAAUGCUUAGAGAUCAUACAGAACACCGAUUGCGAAGGCAGCUUACCAAACUAUAUCCGACGUUGAGGCACGAAAGCGUGGGUAGCAAACAGG